UAGGGAAUCUUCGGCAAUGGGGGGAACCCUGACCGAGCAACGCCGCGUGAGUGAAGAAGGUUUUCGGAUCGUAAAGCUCUGUUGUUAAGGAAGAACGAGUGUGAGAAUGGAAAGUUCAUACUGUGACGGUACUUAACCAGAAAGGGACGGCUAACUACGUGCCAGCAGCCGCGGUAAUACGUAGGUCCCGAGCGUUGUCCGGAUUUAUUGGGCGUAAAGCGAGCGCAGGCGGUUAGAUAAGUCUGAAGUUAAAGGCAGUGGCUCAACCAUUGUAGGCUUUGGAAACUGUUUAACUUGAGUGCAGAAGGGGAGAGUGGAAUUCCAUGUGUAGCGGUGAAAUGCGUAGAUAUAUGGAGAAACACCGGUGGCGAAAGCGGCUCUCUGGUCUGUAACUGACGCUGAGGCUCGAAAGCGUGGGGAGCGAACAGG
This 429-nucleotide ribosomal RNA is filed under the name Bacteroidota bacterium. RNAcentral describes it as "Bacteroidetes bacterium partial 16S ribosomal RNA". It matches the Rfam family "Bacterial small subunit ribosomal RNA", at positions 355 to 776 of the family's 1533-position model. Lineage: Bacteria; Pseudomonadati; Bacteroidota. The record is from RNAcentral.